CCUGGCUCAGAUUGAACGCUGGCGGCAUGCUUUACACAUGCAAGUCGAACGGCAGCGGGGGCUUCGGCCUGCCGGCGAGUGGCGAACGGGUGAGUAAUGCAUCGGAACGUGCCCAUGUCGUGGGGGAUAACGUAGCGAAAGCUACGCUAAUACCGCAUACGCCCUGAGGGGGAAAGCGGGGGAUUCUUCGGAACCUCGCGCGAUUGGAGCGGCCGAUGUCGGAUUAGCUAGUAGGUGAGGUAAAGGCUCACCUAGGCGACGAUCCGUAGCGGGUCUGAGAGGAUGAUCCGCCACACUGGGACUGAGACACGGCCCAGACUCCUACGGGAGGCAGCAGUGGGGAAUUUUGGACAAUGGGCGCAAGCCUGAUCCAGCCAUGCCGCGUGAGUGAAGAAGGCCUCGGGUU
Molecule: ribosomal RNA, 406 nt
Filed under: uncultured bacterium
Lineage: Bacteria
Description: bacterial SSU rRNA
Rfam family: Bacterial small subunit ribosomal RNA
Source: RNAcentral